RNAcentral lists this ribosomal RNA (253 nucleotides) under uncultured prokaryote. Its description in RNAcentral is "partial 16S ribosomal RNA". It matches the Rfam family "Bacterial small subunit ribosomal RNA", at positions 524 to 776 of the family's 1533-position model. The record is from RNAcentral.
UACGUAGGGGGCGAGCGUUGUCCGGAGUUACUGGGCGUAAAGCGCACGCAGGCGGUCGGUUGCGUCGGUGGUGACAGUGCUCGGCUUAACUGAGCAAGUGCUGCCGAAACGGGCUGACUUGAGGGCCAGAGAGGGAGACGGAACUCCGGGUGGAGCGGUGAAAUGCGUAGAGAUCCGGAAGAACACCGAAGGCGAAGGCAGUCUCCUGGCUGGUUCCUGACGCUCAGGUGCGAAAGCGAGGGGAGCAAACAGG